Molecule: long non-coding RNA, 968 nt
Filed under: Chinchilla lanigera (long-tailed chinchilla)
Lineage: Eukaryota; Metazoa; Chordata; Mammalia; Rodentia; Chinchillidae
Description: lncRNA (ENSCLAG00000025219.1)
Source: RNAcentral
AGGACAUGGACGCUGUCCCGGAGAGCCCUGGCUUUUUGCAAAUUCUUGGCCAGUAAGCCGCAGAGAUAAUCCUUCAUUCUCUGUGGGCUCCAACUUCAGCGGUGCUCUUCGAAAUCCCAGUCCUGCUCGCUAAGUUGAGGCUGGAGCUGGGGGGACAGGGGGUACAGAGGACACAUCACUUGGCACUGAAGUCCUGGACAGGGCCGUGGGGCCUGAGGAAGUCGACUUCACGGGUUGCAAGCCUGGAGAAGAAACACUGGAGAGGAUGCCACCUGCUGGCGAGGGACCCUGGCUUGCACGGCGGGCGCUACGGAGACCUGGAGCACGGAUGUGCAGAAAACCAGAAUUUAGGAGGCUUUCCAAGUGGGUGGUUUUCCGCUGUCUCCUCGGGGCUGCCAGCUCCAUCGGCUGCGCUGAGACACCCCGGAGCCCGCGCGCCACCCCGCAGGAGCCGAAGUUUCCAGCAGGUCGCCUUCCCUCGCAGCGCGCCAGGGUCUGAAGAUUCUCCGUGCUUCUCCAUCAGGUGGAGCCGCGCUCCGCACUGCCUCCCUCCUCCCUCCUCUCUCCUCCCUCCUCCCUCCUCGCGAGCGAACCGCGCGCAGGCCGCCUUGCAGCGCCAGGAGGUUAACCGAGCCCCGGGAGGAGCUUCUGUGAAAGGAGCCCUUCUGUCGCUCGUCACUCGCUCGCUCGCUCGCUGUGGGAGGAGCCCGCCGGAGGGAGCCGUGUGCCCGGGAUGCCGAGAGCCAGAGAAUGGAUCUGCUCCGAGCGGGGACACUGCUGAGGAUCCCGGCUUCCCGACGCGGCUAAAAACAUACGAUUUGUCUCGGCUGGCUGCAGAGACCCGGAGGCACAAAGAGCCCGCAGCCACUCUGAGGGACCGAGGGACUGACAGGCAGAUGGUCGGCGCGAACCCGAGAGGACCCGCGGCGGAGGCUGAGCCCGGAGAGCCGCCGAGGAAGAGAAACUAA